This 70-nucleotide transfer RNA is filed under the name Marmota monax (woodchuck). RNAcentral's name for it is "tRNA.Ala". It matches the Rfam family "tRNA", at positions 5 to 66 of the family's 71-position model. Rfam says of the family: Transfer RNA (tRNA) molecules are approximately 80 nucleotides in length. Their secondary structure includes four short double-helical elements and three loops (D, anti-codon, and T loops). Further hydrogen bonds mediate the characteristic L-shaped molecular structure. tRNAs have two regions of fundamental functional importance: the anti-codon, which is responsible for specific mRNA codon recognition, and the 3' end, to which the tRNAs corresponding amino acid is attached (by aminoacyl-tRNA synthetases). tRNAs cope with the degeneracy of the genetic code in two manners: having more than one tRNA (with a specific anti-codon) for a particular amino acid; and 'wobble' base-pairing, i.e. permitting non-standard base-pairing at the 3rd anti-codon position. Lineage: Eukaryota; Metazoa; Chordata; Mammalia; Rodentia; Sciuridae. The record is from RNAcentral.
GAGAUGUAGCUUAGUGGUAGAACACUUGCCUAGCAUGUAUGAGGCCCUGGGUUCAAUUCCUAGUAUUACA